AACACGGAUAUAGCUGGUUCUCCCCGAAAUAGCUUUAGGGCUAGCGUCGAGGUAGAGUCGCAUGGAGGUAGAGCACUGAAUGUACGAUGGCCCCAUCCCGGGGUACUGAGUAUAAUCAAACUCCGAAUGCCAUGCAGACGUACUCGGCAGUCAGACUGUGGGUGAUAAGGUCCAUGGUCAAAAGGGAAACAGCCCAGACCGCCAGUUAAGGUCCCAAAAUGUAUGCUAAGUGGAAAAGGAUGUGGGGAUGCACAGACAACUAGGAGGUUGGCUCAGAAGCAGCCAUCCUUCAAAGAGUGCGUAACAGCUCACUAGUCGAGUGACCCUGCGCCGAAAAUGUACCGGGGCUAAGCAUACUACCGAAGCUGCGGAUUCAACUUCAGAGUUGAGUGGUAGGGGAGCGUUGCAUGCACGUAGAAGCCGUACCGUAAGGAGCGGUGGAGAGCAUGGAAGAGAGAAUGCCGGUGUGAGUAGCGAGAUGUAGGUGAGAAUCCUACACACCGAUAGCCCAAGGAUUCCAGGGGAAGGUUCGUCCGCCCUGGGUAAGUCGGGACCUAACGCGAGGCCGAAAGGCGUAGUGGAUGGAAAACAGGCAGAUAUUCCUGUACCCGCGAUGGAAAUGAAGGAAUGACGGAGAAGGCUAGUGUGAGCCACUGAACGGAUUGUGGUCAAAGCAUAUAGCAGGCUGACAGUGAAAUGCGUCAGCGGGAUGUAAGAUGUGACAGGUAAGGGAACGUCCUUGGACAAGUACUGAAGCACAUGAUGCCAGCUUCCAAGAAAAGUUUCUAGUGAUAAUUCCAUAGCGGCCCGUACCAAAACCGACACAGGUGGGCAAGGAGAGAAUCCUGAGGUGAGCGAGAGAACUGUUGCCAAGGAACUCGGCAAAAUGACUCCGUAAGUUAGCGAUAAGGAGUGCUCUUGUAAAAGAGAGCCGCAGUGAAGAGGCCCAAGCGACUGUUUAACUAAAACACAGCUCUCUGCAAAGUCGCAAGACGAAGUAUAGGGGGUGACGCCUGCCCGGUGCUGGAAGGUUAAGAGGAUUUGUCAUCCGCAAGGAGAAGCAAUGAAUUGAAGCCCCAGUGAACGGCGGCCGUAACUAUAACGGUCCUAAGGUAGCGAAAUUCCUUGUCAGGUAAGUUCUGACCCGCACGAAAGGCGUAACGAUUUGGGCGCUGUCUCGGCAGCAGACUCGGUGAAAUCUUAGUACCUGUGAAAAUGCAGGUUACCCGCAACUAGACGGAAAGACCCCAUGGAGCUUUACUGUAGCCUGAUAUUGAAUUUUGAUCAAAGAUGUACAGGAUAGGUGGGAGGCGAAGAGACGUGUACGCCAGUAUACGAGGAGCCGCUGUUGGGAUACCACUCUUGUUUGAUUGAAGUUCUAACCUGCACCCAUGAACUGGGUGAGGGACCGUGUCAGGUGGGCAGUUUGACUGGGGCGGUCGCCUCCUAAAGAGUAACGGAGGCGCCCAAAGGUUCCCUCAGAGCGGACGGAAAUCGCUCGAA
This 1503-nucleotide ribosomal RNA is filed under the name human gut metagenome. Its description in RNAcentral is "bacterial LSU rRNA". It matches the Rfam family "Bacterial large subunit ribosomal RNA", at positions 836 to 2346 of the family's 2925-position model. The record is from RNAcentral.